Long non-coding RNA from Drosophila subpulchrella, 742 nucleotides. RefSeq lists it as uncharacterized. The record is from RefSeq and is a predicted model, not a curated record. NCBI's taxonomy places the organism in Eukaryota, Metazoa, Arthropoda, Insecta, Diptera, Drosophilidae. The transcript is spliced from 3 exons.
CCAAUAUUUAUUCGCGUCCGGGGAAAUUGUUGACUUUAGAUUUUUUCACAGUCCAAUUUAAAUACAUUGAAUGACUUUUUUGUUGCCCUCUUAUAAAAACAUAAAUAAAGCUUGUUCAAAAAAUAAUAAUAUUCAAACAUUUGUGUGCUCUUUGUGCGUUUUUGUGGAAUGUGUUGUAUAUUUGUUCUUAAAAAAAUGGCAUAACAUAAUAUAUAGCAGUUUCAUAACCUUUCCACGCUGCCAUCUCUGGUUAUAGAUCGCCAGCAUUUUCGUGGGGAAACUUGGUGGUGCUGCCUCAGCUUCUUUGGAAGAUUGUAGAUUUGCUUGGCAACAUCGGAUAGCUGAACAUCAAUGGCCUUGGUGUCGUCAUAUAGCGACGGAGCCUCUCCAAGGAUCACAAAGGUACCCACCAGGGAAGCGAUCAUGAAGAGCCAGAGGAACAGGCGAUCCAUGACCAUGGCCACGAAGCCCCAAUCUUGAUCUUCCUGUUGAGAUAUAGAACCCAAAUGGUUUUAGUAAAAUAUCAUAUACAUAUCCCUAAGGAAAUAAGUUUUUUUUUACAGUUCUACAUAUUAAACUGAAAAAAGUUUAUUUAUUUACUGAACAGCAAAUAUUAAAAAGGAACAGGGCAAUCUAAAAUAAAUAAAGAGGAUAGUAUUCUAAAUUAAUUGGUCAAUUCUGCACGCUUUAUAACUUAGUAUAUGGAAACAUUAAACAAUAAUGCAUGAAUAAAAUUAAAUGA